RNAcentral lists this ribosomal RNA (669 nucleotides) under Krasilnikoviella muralis. RNAcentral's name for it is "bacterial SSU rRNA". It matches the Rfam family "Bacterial small subunit ribosomal RNA", at positions 56 to 739 of the family's 1533-position model. The record is from RNAcentral. Lineage: Bacteria; Bacillati; Actinomycetota; Actinomycetes; Micrococcales; Promicromonosporaceae.
UGCAAGUCGAACGGUGAAGCCCAGCUUGCUGGGUGGAUCAGUGGCGAACGGGUGAGUAACACGUGAGCAACCUGCCCUCCACUUCGGGAUAAGCCUUGGAAACGGGGUCUAAUACCGGAUAUGAGCAUCCAUCGCAUGGUGGGUGUUGGAAAGUUUUUCGGUGGGGGAUGGGCUCGCGGCCUAUCAGCUUGUUGGUGGGGUGAUGGCCUACCAAGGCGUCGACGGGUAGCCGGCCUGAGAGGGCGACCGGCCACACUGGGACUGAGACACGGCCCAGACUCCUACGGGAGGCAGCAGUGGGGAAUAUUGCACAAUGGGCGCAAGCCUGAUGCAGCGACGCCGCGUGAGGGAUGACGGCCUUCGGGUUGUAAACCUCUUUCAGCAGGGAAGAAGCGCAAGUGACGGUACCUGCAGAAGAAGCGCCGGCUAACUACGUGCCAGCAGCCGCGGUAAUACGUAGGGCGCAAGCGUUGUCCGGAAUUAUUGGGCGUAAAGAGCUCGUAGGCGGUCUGUCGCGUCUGGUGUGAAAUCCCGAGGCUCAACCUCGGGCUUGCAUCGGGUACGGGCAGACUAGAGUGCGGUAGGGGAGACUGGAAUUCCUGGUGUAGCGGUGGAAUGCGCAGAUAUCAGGAGGAACACCGAUGGCGAAGGCAGGUCUCUGGGCCGCAA